GGCCUUACUGCAAUGGCGGUCUUAUGAAUGAGUCAGAUCCGGAAGGAAGCAGCUAUAAGUAGGAGUCGCCAUGUGCUGUAAGUUAAUU
Jeotgalibaca dankookensis is the source of this 88-nucleotide non-coding RNA. It matches the Rfam family "Bacterial small signal recognition particle RNA". From Rfam's summary of the family: The signal recognition particle (SRP) is a universally conserved ribonucleoprotein involved in the co-translational targeting of proteins to membranes. Archaeal SRP consists of a 7S RNA and homologues of the eukaryotic SRP19 and SRP54 proteins. NCBI's taxonomy places the organism in Bacteria, Bacillati, Bacillota, Bacilli, Lactobacillales, Carnobacteriaceae. The record is from Rfam.